RNAcentral lists this long non-coding RNA (2588 nucleotides) under Gossypium barbadense (sea-island cotton). RNAcentral's name for it is "long non-coding RNA (GBAR_LNC012962)". The record is from RNAcentral. Lineage: Eukaryota; Viridiplantae; Streptophyta; Magnoliopsida; Malvales; Malvaceae.
GCACUUAAACAUUCCUAACAUGACAUGACCAUGGUAAUUUCACAUGCAAUAGAUAUCAUAGAUUUUUCUCACAUCUUUACCACAUUCAUGCUAUAAUCAUUAUAAACUCAUCACAUAAUACCAUAGCACAUGUAUGUAUAAUUAAAAUGAAUUUACAAUCCCAUAAUCAAAAUAAGCCAACACAUAUGGUCAAAGCCAUAUCACAUACUCUAAUAUUUAAACUCCUAUACAUGCCAUAGACUCAAAGUACUUGAAAUCACUACACCAAUAGCGUUAGCUUGACAGUGUGAUAAUAUCUCCGACGAACUCCAACCCGAGCUAACCUGGAAACUCUAGAAAACAUGGGAAAGAAGGGAGGGUAAGCUUUCGCUUAGUAAGUUCAUAUGAAAACAAUAAGCAACUCAUUAACUUGUUUUAUCAAUGUUUACAACAUAUUUUCAAGUUCACUACAAGCUGUCUUUCUGAGCAAUGGUCACUAAAUUAUUUAUAUCUGGAGCUACGAAACUCCGAAUUAAGUUCCAUUAAUUUUCUCUGAAACUAGACUUAUUUUCCUUUCUUCCAUAAAAUUUCCAGAAUUUUUGGUUAAGCCAAAUAGUACAAUUUAUUCCUCAAAGUUACCCCUGAUUCACUGUCUGACAGUUCCGACCCUUCUGUACUAAAGUUCAAUAAUCUCAUAGUACAAGACUCGAACAAUGUUCUCGUCUAUUUCUCUUGAAACUAGACUCAUAUGUCUACUUACUAAUUUUUUUCUAGAAUUUUUUUGGUUGGGCCAAUUAGUACAGUUUAUUAGUUAAAGUCUCCCCUAUUUCAGGGUAUGACCACUCUGACCCCUGUGCACUCCAAACCGAAUUUCUCCCUGUAAAAAAUUCCAACAACCAUGCCGUUUAUUUCCCCUAAAAAUAGACUCAAUAAGGAAUCCAUGCAUAUAAGGUAUGACUCUUAAAUUUUUUUUUACAAUUUUUGGUAAAUUUCUAAAGUCAGAAUAGGGGAUCUCGAAUUUAUUUAGACCCUGUUUCACAAGAAUUCAAAUAUCACACAAUAUGGAAUUCUUUUUCUUCCCCUGUUUCUUUCAUGUGAAAAUAGACUCAUUAAGCUUUAAUCCCAUAUUUUAUUCUGCCUCUAACUCAUUUUCCACUAUUUUUAUUGUAUUUUCAAAGUUACACUACUGCAGUAACUCAAAUCUGUCAAGGCUAAAUUACUCAUUCAUGAUCAUUGUUCACAAAAUUAAUACAACAUCGUUUGUAUAAUCAUCACCGAGACAUUCAUAUCACAUUUUCAUUUACCAUCUUACCAUGUUGUUGUUAUGUCGAGUUUUCAACCCGAGGGUUAAGUACAUACCUGUUCAAAGUAUCCAUUUCACAAGAUUUAUCAAUACGUCCCUUUCAUCUCGAGUAUUCCUCCAUUUGAGUAGAAUUUUACCCGUUGAACACACCGGAAUAUAAUUCGAAUACAUGGAAAGUUUGCACAUAAGUGCCACAUAUGUAGCCAAGCUACCAUGUAACCCGCCCAUAAGUGAACUCGGACUCAACUCAACGAGCUCGGGCGUUCACAUCCAUAAGUGAACUCGGACUCAACUCAACGAGCUCGGAUGCCUAGUUACAUCUCACGAACUCGGACUCAACUCAACGAGUUCGGAUGCUCAACCAUCCUAGUGACAUGUCACUUGUAUCCUAAUCUAUUCCUAAGGUUCAAACGAGAUUUUCCUCGAACACAUAUCCUUGCCAUCUUCCGUAAAAUACCGAAACCAAUACUCGGUAGCACUUUAUAUUUAAUAUAUAAUACACAUAACUUGCAUUUUAUUCGAAAAUAACCACAAAGCAUAUAUUUCAUGAUAAAAAUCAGCAUAUCAUAUAUUUAACAUCAAUAACUUAAAAAUAACAAUUAUGCUACAUUAUUUACACAUGAACUUACCUCGAUACCACAAAGGUGAAAAAAAAGACGUAAUUAUCUCUUAAUCGAUUUCUUUCCGUUCUAGGUCCAAAUCUCGAUUUUCAUCAUCUAAAAUAUCACAUUCAACUUAUUAAAACAAUGUACUGAUAAAUUAGUCCAUUGACACACUUGGGCAAUUUUUACAAUUUUGCCCCUAUAUUUUGCCAAAAUUACCAAAUUGCCCCUAGGCUCGUAAAAUAAAUUUUAUCACAUUUCUUUACUCCUUGAGUCUAGAUGAACCAUUUUCAUAACUAUAGCAACUCAUAAUUUCAACUAUUUCACACAUUUACAACUCAUUUUACAACUUAGCAAUCUAGCCCUUUUUAAGGUGUUUUCAUGCAAUUUCUUUCACAAAAGUUGUUUAUUAGACAACUAGGACUUAUAAUCUUCCAUAAAAACACAGAAAAAAACACAUUUACUCUCAUGGCAAAACCCUAGACUCUUCAUAAUUUUGCAAAAUAGUCCCCUCUUAUGAAAGCUCAUGCUUUAGGGGUUCCAAAAAUGUAAAAAUCAUCAAGCAAACACAUUAAAAUCACUUACAAGCAAGGGAAAUAUGUUGCUGAAAUUUUCCAGCUUCAAAACCCUUUCUUUGCUGCAUAUUUCGGUGAAGGAGAAGAGAAAAAUGAUAGCUUUUUUCUUUUUGAUUUGUUAAUAAUAAA